UACGGGGGAUGCAAGCGUUAUCCGGAAUCAUUGGGCGUAAAGCGCCUGUAGGUUGUUUAGUAAGUCUGUUGUUAAAGACUAAGGCUUAACCUUAGGAAAGCGAUGGAAACUACUAGACUUGAGUAUGGCAGGGGUAGAGGGAAUUUCUAGUGUAGCGGUGAAAUGCGUAGAUAUUAGAAAGAACACCAGCGGCGAAAGCGCUCUACUGGACCAUUACUGACACUCAGAGGCGAAAGCUAGGGGAGCAAAAGGGAUUAGAUACCCCUGUAGUCCUAGCCGUAAACGAUGGAUACUAGGUGUUGUGUAUAUUAUACAGUGCCGUAGCUAACGCGUUAAGUAUCCCGCCUGGGGAGUACGCUCGCAAGGGUG
RNAcentral lists this ribosomal RNA (369 nucleotides) under uncultured phototrophic eukaryote. RNAcentral describes it as "SSU rRNA". It matches the Rfam family "Bacterial small subunit ribosomal RNA", at positions 524 to 896 of the family's 1533-position model. The record is from RNAcentral.